This 595-nucleotide unclassified non-coding RNA is filed under the name uncultured Thelephoraceae. Its description in RNAcentral is "sequence contains ITS1, 5.8S rRNA gene, ITS2". The stretch from base 217 to 371 matches the Rfam family "5.8S ribosomal RNA". Lineage: Eukaryota; Fungi; Basidiomycota; Agaricomycetes; Thelephorales; Thelephoraceae. The record is from RNAcentral.
GGAAGGAUCAUUACCGAAUUGUAAACACGAGUUGUUGCUGGCCCUCAAACGGGGGCAUACGUGCACGCUCUGUUCACACAUCCACUCACACCUGUGCACACCCCGUAGUUCUAUGGCCUGGGGGCUCCGUCCUCUUGCUGUGGUUCUAUGUCUUUACACACACACACCGCAACGAAGUCUUAUGGAAUGUAUGCCGCGUUUAACGCAAUACAAUACAACUUUCAGCAACGGAUCUCUUGGCUCUCGCAUCGAUGAAGAACGCAGCGAAAUGCGAUAAGUAAUGUGAAUUGCAGAAUUCAGUGAAUCAUCGAAUCUUUGAACGCACCUUGCGCCCUUUGGACAUUCCGAAGGGCAUGCCUGUUUGAGUAUCAUGAACACCUCAACUCUCAUGGCUUGCCAUGAUGAGCUUGGACUUUGGGGGUCUUGCUGGCCUACGGUCGGCUCCUCUCAAAUGGAUUAGCUUACCAGUGUUUGGUGGCAUCACAGGUGUGAUAACUAUCUGCGCUUGUGGUUUUCCACCAGAUAACCUUCAGUGAUGGGGGUUCGCUGGAGCUUAUAAACGUCUCUCCUAAGCGGGGACAGCUCUUUGAACGUU